Molecule: long non-coding RNA, 1460 nt
Filed under: Gouania willdenowi (blunt-snouted clingfish)
Lineage: Eukaryota; Metazoa; Chordata; Actinopteri; Blenniiformes; Gobiesocidae
Description: lncRNA (ENSGWIG00000005619.1)
Source: RNAcentral
CGCAUAUCAAAGCAGGAAGGCGACACACAAGUGAGUGAACUUGUUCAGACAGUGUCAGUACAGUCAGUUGUUAAAACUACAGACAUGGAUCCAAACGUGCGCAAUACAGUGAUGCAACUUCAGAUAGCGUUGGUAAAUGAAACUUGUUUAAAGAUCUGGUAUGAAGAAGAGUAUGAGAAUUUAUUUUCUGAAUUCCAAGUUGAGAUGAUGAAGCUGAAAAAUGAGAACCAGAGUAUUAGAGAACAGUUGUAUAAUCUCCAGCAUCAGUCGGAUGCUACAAACGUUAGCGUCUCAUCACAGCCUGGAACUGAGAAGCAACGUAAUGAAGAGAUUGUGAAACUUCAGGAGCGAAUAAGAGAUCUGGAGUUGGACCUGAAGGAGGAAAAGAAAGCAGGGGAAGCCUCCAAAAAGCAAGUGGAAAUGCUCCGAGAAAAUGAAGUCGUGCUGACUUCUAUGAGUGAAAACUCUGAAGAGAUAAAUCAGCAGCUACAAGAAGAUAGAAAUAAUUUAAUUCAAGAAAAUGCAACACUUGUUGCUGUGAUGGAGAAAAUGAAAGAUCAGGUCAACGAAAAACAUUUUGUGAUUAAAAAUCUAAAGAAGGAACUGUAUGAUCUUCAGAGUGAAAUGGAUGAACAAACCAAUCCCUUUCCUCUAGAGAUCCAACAUGAGAAAAUCAGGAAAGAGUUCAACAAACUUUACUGGCAAAAUAAAGAAUUGGAGUCGGAACUUGAAGUAGAAAAGCAAAAACUACAAGCUGCAUUGGAGCUGUAUGAAAAAGCUCAGGAUGAGCUCCGUUUGAUGCAAAGCUCCACGAGGGGAACCUUUAAUUCAGGAAUUGAGCAGCUGCAAGAGGAUCACAAUGUUCUAGUUCAAGAAAACAAUUCACUUGUUGCUGAGAUCAAGGUAAUUAAAGAUCAGAUGCGUGGAAAGGAUUUAGAGAUUCAAAGUCUCCACCAGCAACUGAGUGAUGUAGAACAAAGGAUGAAGAACCCAGAAGAACAGCCUCCUGAAGACAAUGUCCCAGUGACAAAGGAUGGAUGUGAGCAUGACCAUGCACAUGUUCCCUCAGGUGAACCUGUGGAGCUGCAGGCUGGGACCAACUCUAGCUCUACUGCGGGCCACAGGCAGGAGGCUUCUGGUCCCGCUGUGCACACACUCUACGUUCAAGCCGUGUUGGUGUUGCAGCAGCCAGGUUAUUUGGUUAUUUGAGCUCUCUUUUUAGAAACCUGUUUCAUCAUUAGUAACCGUGACAAAAUUAACACGGUGCCAGAUUCUGCAGAGCUUGAUUAACCAGAAUGUUUGUUUUUUCUUAUUGAGAACUAUUCUGGUUUCCAGUUCAAAUCUGACCAGUAGAAUAGACAGUACAUGCUUUUUUCCUCACAGGGCUGAGAGGAGCCAGCUGAAGUUUUUAGUGUAUUGUUCUGUCAUUUAGUGUGCAUUUGGAGUCAUUUCAUACCCCA